GCUGUGCUUGCCCGGCACACCUGUAGUCCCAGCUACUCGAGGCUGAGGCUGGAGGAUCGCUUGAGUGCAGGAGUUCUGGGCUGUUGUGCACUGUGCCGAUCGGGUGUCCGCACUAAGGUCAGCAUCAGCAUGGUGACUUCCUGGGGGUAGGGCACCACCAGGUUGCCUAAGGAGGGGUGAUCCGGCCCAGGUCAGAAAUGGAGCAGAUCAGAACUCCUGUGCUGAUCUGAAGGGCUCUGGACUUGGAGGCUGAGCCUGGAAGGUGUCCAGGGUUUGGGCAUCCUGAGUAGGCAUCAGGUU
Molecule: unclassified non-coding RNA, 300 nt
Organism: Oryctolagus cuniculus (rabbit)
Lineage: Eukaryota; Metazoa; Chordata; Mammalia; Lagomorpha; Leporidae
Rfam family: Metazoan signal recognition particle RNA
About the family: The signal recognition particle (SRP) is a universally conserved ribonucleoprotein. It is involved in the co-translational targeting of proteins to membranes.
Source: Ensembl